CUUGAGAUGUUUUCCCUGAAAAAUAUCAAUGAAAGGCAACAACUUGGGCUACAGGCACGAUCAUAGUGCUUAUGUGUCAAAAACUUUUAGUUUUUGAGCACUAUCAGAAAUCACAAAGAUUUCUGAAGCCAUCAAAUACAAUAGCGAUAGCAAGUAGUAAUGAAGAACCUUGGGUAAGUUUGGAGCGAAACCUAAAGUUAUGGUGAAUCUUGAUGAUCAUGCUACGACUG
RNAcentral lists this non-coding RNA (230 nucleotides) under unclassified sequences. RNAcentral's name for it is "RT-16 RNA". It matches the Rfam family "RT-16 RNA". From Rfam's summary of the family: candidate division DUSEL4 (Archaea). Nearby to self-splicing intron genes The record is from Rfam by way of RNAcentral.